AAGACCCCUUGAAGACGACGAGGUUGAUAGGCCUGAGGUGGAAGUGCAGCAAUGUAUGGAGCUGACAGGUACUAAUCGGUCGAGGGCUUAUCCAA
This 95-nucleotide ribosomal RNA is filed under the name Fontibacillus phaseoli. RNAcentral's name for it is "Bacterial large subunit ribosomal RNA". It matches the Rfam family "Bacterial large subunit ribosomal RNA", at positions 2830 to 2925 of the family's 2925-position model. Lineage: Bacteria; Bacillati; Bacillota; Bacilli; Caryophanales; Paenibacillaceae. The record is from Rfam by way of RNAcentral.